Long non-coding RNA from Helianthus annuus (common sunflower), 5451 nucleotides. RefSeq lists it as uncharacterized. The record is from RefSeq and is a predicted model, not a curated record. The transcript has 8 exons. Lineage: Eukaryota; Viridiplantae; Streptophyta; Magnoliopsida; Asterales; Asteraceae.
AUUUUGAAACCAGACAACAAACACACACAUAUUCAUUGGCCCUCUCUCUCCCUCUCGACUAAACUCCGGCGACCGGAGCAGAAUCCGGCCGGCCGGUGCCGGUUUCCGGCACCUCACUCCCCUCACACACACCCACUUCUCCUGCUCCUCUUUUUCUGAUGAACAGCGCCAGCGACAUGCCGGCUGAUGCUGGUCGUAUUCCGGCAGACCACUCGAGAAACCUCAUCACUGACAGACCCCCCCCCCCCGAUGAACAUCAGCAAUGGUAGUGCUGGUAAACAACUCGGUCCGGCGGUCGGCGUCUCGACUCGGCGGUCGGAGACCAGGUCCGGCGGUCAACGUCAAGGACCGGCGGUCCUUGUCUUUAUCCGACAGGCUUCACCGGUGAUGAUGCUGAUGAGGUCAGCGGUGAUGGUGCUCGACGAAAUCGCCGGCGACGGUUGUUGAGUCCGACGAUGAUAGGGGUGUCCGACUCGGGUUCAGCUCAGAUUCGGGUUCGGAAUUCGGGUCUCGGCUCAGAUCGGGUUCAGUUCGGUCAGAAUAGUCAAUUUCAGAUGUGGUUCGAGUCAACUCGGUCAACCGAGUUAACUCGUUCAACUCAGACAAUGCGAGUCAACUCAGCCCGAUGCGAGUCAACACAGCGGGUACGGGUCAGACGGUUCGGGUCACGGCUUCUGUUCACAUGUUCGGAUCAAGUUCAGCAAGGUCAACGGUUCGGUCCGGGUCAAGCGGCUUCGUGUCAGAGUUCGUGGAACAGUACGGUUCGUGUCAGACUCAGUCAAACCGAGCCAACUGGGUCAAACCCGGUCAACUCAGCCGGUCGACUCAGUCAAACUGUGGGUCAACUCAGUCAUACUAAUCGAUGGAACGGCACGAGGAUUUGGAAUAUUGUUGAAUGCACACUAGCGAGUCUCGUCUUGGAAACGACAUCGCAAAGUCGUAUUUAGCUAGCUUUGCACAGGAAUAUUCAGGUUACUUUUCAAAGUUAUGGCACGGUUGGAAUAGGAGAAUCAUUGGAAAUUCGAGUACUUAGCAGGCGUUCAAUUUUUAGAAGUCUUAGCUUAUUUGCUUCCGCUGUGCAAUGAAGAUACCAGUCCAGUCACACCAGCUCUGAUAAUUUUGGGGUGUGAUAGAUUGUUAUCAGAGCUAUAGGUUACAGCGAAUUAGGUUUCUGUAGGAAUACCUAGGCUCUAACCUCACUUUUCUCUGGGACUUAGACUAUUAAUACGUACAGAACGCCUAGUACUCGAAUAUGGUCUCCAACCGUUGCCGAAAACAAAAAAGGUCAGAAUUUUGAUUUUUAAACAUACGCUAUUGUGGUGCUUCAUACACGGUUCACAAAACAAAUACGCACGGUAAACAAAACUCUGAGAGUUUAGGAAACAUGCAUUUAAGACCUUCGGAAACUUAUGUCUAAGUUCAUUAAAGGUCAUCACGUAGGAACCGCGAAUAUUAACUCGGGCACAUAUUAUUAUCCAUAUUGUCUAUGAUAUUCUAACUUCCCGAGCAGGCAGCCUACGCAUAACAAAAACGCUAGUGCACGAGAAUACAUGGAACUCAGUCUUUACGUCAACGGAUGUCGGAGUACAUCACGUCUUACGCGAAACAUAACGCUAGUGCACAGGUAUACGUGAAACUUAAGCUAUAUGUCAACGGAGGUGGAAGUACGACACAUACGACUAUCGAGGCGAGGCCUUUUAAAAGACACGAUGGCGUAAUUCAAUGACGACGCUAGAUUCCUGUGAGCAGGAGGACUAACGACCAGAAAACACGACAACUUGUCACGCGACCCUGCAACGACACGGAUCACUCCAAGGAAAAGACGUAUGCCUCCACAUCCCCCUAUUUCAGUUAACGACGAAUACGCUAAGUUCGACAUUCCAUGGUAAUGUCAACUAAUAACCGGCCGUCACACGAAACCCCAGGUAAAGUCCUCAAAUUUCUUUUGUUAAAAUUUCGACUUUCACACUUACUGAGUAGAUUUUGGUAUCUCUACUCCUCUUAAUGGUCAUUGUAUCACGAUCAUUUCCUUCAGUAUAGCGAAUAUUCAUAGGCUUCAUUUCUUGAAAAUUCAUAUGCUACGCAUGCAUCGUUUGUUGCGCAUGUGGUUUCGUUUCGAAUGAGCGUUUCAUCAAAAGUUCAAAUAUUGAUUCGCUAAACCUAAUUAUUGAUUUGUGAUUCGAAUGACUCGCAUUAUUGUAAUGGUUGGCUCCCUUGUUAUCAAGUCAACACAUUUUCUUGAAAUUUCUUUUCUUUCAAGUUACAUACAUGGUUUUCAUUGCGACCAUGCCGAAAGUUUUCUUGUCGAUACAUGUAUUUAUUAUCGGCUUGCGCCGAAACCAGGUUCGAUUGUUUGAACUUCUUCAUUUCACUCAUUCAAUUCAAGAUACCAUAUGAUGUAUUGAAGACAUCAUAUUCAAAUUCGUUUUAACAAGUGUUUCAUUUGUUCCAAGUUGAAGUAAACUUGUUGGGCAUUCGACUCCAUUAAAUUGUUUGUUGAUUUCGACACCUUGUGGUGGUAUUUUCACUUGUCUGAAGCCGGAGCUAAACUCGUUUACAUGUCUCAUGCACAGAUUUAACUAUUUAUUUAUUGCUUAAAAUCCGCUUUGAUUUAUCAUAUUACAGCAGUCUUAACACAAUCGUGCGUUAAGACAAUGGUACACCAGCUCAUUUUAAAUUCCGGUGUACCUACUAACGGUACAUUCAUUUAUCGAUCGAAUGUUUUGCGAAAUUCAUUGCUUCUUCGUCUUCGAUCGAAAACAUUAUUUCUUUGAUGUUCCAUUUUCAAUUGAAAAUUCUAUAAUGUCAUUUGAAACAAAUUUUCAUAUUUACUUCACUGCGCUUUCAAUUGACUGUAAAACACAGGUGAUACUUGUUCGAUCACCUCUAUUAUUGAAUUGUUUCAUUCAUUGCGACACCUUGUGGCGUCGAUAUAACUUGCAGCUUGUGCUGAUCACGAUCGAGCGUUUCAUGCAAACUAUUAUAUUUGAGGUUGUUGAUUCUAAGUUCAUCCAGUGGAUGUUAUUGCUUCUAGAACUCAUUUACACAUUGUAAACGUUCAUAUGGAAUUCGAUUGGUCGAAGUUCCUGUUCAUUGUUGAAUUCCUGUUAACUUAGUCACAUUAGUGACUGUACCUAUACGUCUCGUUUCCUUUGACAUCAAUUACUGAGACACAUUUCCUUUAAACCGUUGGGUUCUUAUUGUUGAGUAAUGUCAUUAAAUUCACAUGAUUCGAAUAAGUCUUGUUUCGAUUACGCAGUCAUUCACUUUGUUAUUAUUCGGACUUACCUGUGAACAACACAAUUACGAGGGGAUAACAUAGUCUAAAUUUCGAGUACGAAAUUUCUGUAACAGGGGGAGAAUGUGACAACCGGUGAUUUACGGAGCUUAAUUAAGCGAUUAACAUAUGUUUAAAACGAUGAUAAAUAAUGUUUAUGAUGUAGAUUAACUUAAUUAGGCCUCUGGAGUGCCUAGGAACGCUUGUCGGACGCUACAGUGCAUAUAUGGUGAUUUUCGGAACAACUGCGCAACGAUAAACGACAACGAACUGACACCGUACAAAAUACUGAUAACGCCGACAAAUAUAAAAUUUUUACGAUAUAUUUUAGCUUCGCAAUCAAAUUUUAGUAACUACAGUCGAAACUGGAGAAGAAAACGAAUUAGAAACGGCAACGAGGUAAUUCUUCGCGAUUUUUACCGCAACCGACUAACGAAAGCGUCCAACAUCGAAUACCGACACUAUUUUAUAUUUUUAACUAAAAAAAAUUUAUAAUUCACGAUAUUUUUACGAUAAUCGGGUUAUGAUAACGGGUUUCGUUGAAAUUAACGGGCCACACAAAACAAGCGAUUGGGCUUGUGGGCCUUGGGCCCAAGCCCAACGUCCAUUAACUAAAACUCUAAAUAUAUAUAAUAAGUGUUGAACCUUAUCUUCGUUCAUUUUGAUACCAGACAACAAACACACACAUAUUCAUUGGCCCUCUCUCUCCCUCUCGACUAAACUCCGGCGACCGGAGCAGAAUCUGGCCGGCCGGUGCCGGUUUCCGGCACCUCACUCCCCUCACACACACCCACUUCUCCUGGUCCUCUUUUUCUGAUGAACAGCGCCCGCGACAUGCCGGCUGGUGCUGGUCGUAUUCCGGCAGACCACUCGGGAAACCUCAUCACUUCGGCUCGGUUCUCAGGCGACAGACUCCCCCCCUCCGAUGAACAUCAGCAAUGGCAGCACUGGUAAACAACUCGGUCCGGCGGUCGGCGUCUUGACCUGGCGGUCGGAGACCCGGUCCGACGGUCGGCGUCAAGGACCGGCCGGUCCUUGUCUUUAUCCGACAGGCUUCACCGGUGAUGAUGCUGAUGAGGUCAGCGGUGAUGGUGCUCGAUGAAAUCGCCGGCGACGGUUGUGGAGUCCGAAGACGAUAGGGGUGUCCGACUUGGGUUCAGCUCAGAUUCGGGUUCGGAAUUCGGGUCUCGGCUCAGAUCGGGUUCGGUUUGGUCAGAAUGGUCAAUUUCAGAUGUGGUUCGAGUCAACUCGAUCAACUCAGACAAUGCGAGUCAACUCAGCUCGGUGCGAGUCAACACAGCGGGUACGGGUCAGACGGUUCGGGUCACGGCUUCUGUUCACAUGUUCGGAUCAAGUUCAGCAAGGUCAACGGUUCGGUCCGGGUCAAGUGGCUUCGGGUCAGAGUUCGUGGAACAGUACGGUUCUUGUCAGACUCAGUCAAACCGAGCCAACCUGGGUCAAACCCGGUCAACUCAGCCGGUCGACUCAGUCAAACUGUGGGUCAACUCAGUCAUACUAAUCGACGGAACGGCACGAGGAUUUGGAAUAUUGCAGAAUGCACGCUAGCGAGUCUCGUCUUGGAAACGACAUCGCAAAGUCGUAUUUAGCUAGCUUUGCACAGGAAUAUUCAGCUGAGUUCAUAACCUCCACUUUUUACUAUUUUACAUUUUUAUAAAUGUUUUCGGGGGUGGAAAGACAUGCACGUUUUUCAGAAAACAUACAAAGUUUUCGAUAAACAAGGACUGUAUAUUUUUAGACAAAGCACGUCUUGCAAGAACAUACACAGUUUUGAACAAACGCAAAACUCGUAUUUCUAAAUCAUAUUACGAAUGGAUUUCGAGGAACUCAAAUGAUUUACGAAAGGUUUAUACUAAAAUAUCGGUUUUUACAAAACAAAUGCGUAUUUUCGAAACGUGAAUGAUUUCCAUAACUAGGGAUGGAUCGUCUGGUGAUAAUAUAGAGGCUUGGGAGGUUCAGCCUUAGUGGCUGGGGAGGUUCAGCCUUAGUGGCUGGGAAGGUCCAGCCUUAGUGGCUGGGAAGGUCCAGCCUUAGUGGCUGGGGAGGUUCAGCCUUAGAGACUGGGGAGGUUCAGCCUUAGUGGCUGGGAAGGUUCAGCCUUAGUGGCUGGGGAGGUUCAGCCUUAGAGACUGGGGUAAAUACAUGUUACAAUUAAU